UACGGAGGGUGCAAGCGUUAUCCGGAUUCACUGGGUUUAAAGGGUGCGUAGGCGGGCAGGUAAGUCAGUGGUGAAAUCUCCGAGCUUAACUCGGAAACUGCCAUUGAUACUAUUUGUCUUGAAUAUUGUGGAGGUAAGCGGAAUAUGUCAUGUAGCGGUGAAAUGCUUAGAUAUGACAUAGAACACCAAUUGCGAAGGCAGCUGGCUACAGGUUGAUUGACACUGAGGCACGAAAGCGUGGGGAUCAAACAGG
Molecule: ribosomal RNA, 253 nt
Filed under: uncultured bacterium
Lineage: Bacteria
Description: partial 16S ribosomal RNA
Rfam family: Bacterial small subunit ribosomal RNA
Source: RNAcentral